UCGAUGCCCUUAAAAAAUUAAGAAUCUAGGCUCUGUUGUAGGGCUUCGCGGCACUCCACCGCUAAUCUCCGCUCUUUGAGAGCGCCGCAGGGAAACUUCGCGGCCACCACACUAGGAAUUUUUUCUAAAAGCCGGCCGCGGGAUCGACCCCGUGGCCGGCGUCCUGCGAUUCUAUUUUUACCCGGUUGCCCUUCGAUCUUUCGGUAGUUCGGGUUGUUACGCGAAAUCAGGCUCCGCUCCUUCCCCCUCCUUCUCUCGGGUCGUUCGUUCAUUGGUCAUCUUCUCCGACAGUUCGGCUCAUUCGUCCGUCUUCUUUGACAGUUCGGCCUGUUCGAUCUUCUUCCUUUAUCUACCCGUCGAAACGAAGCCCUGUCCAUCGGUCUCCUUGCUCUUCCAUCCUCUCCCUCAAAGCUCUUCUAUCCUCUCCCUCAAAGCUGCGCAGCCCGUCGAAAGGUCGUUGUGACCUCUGUGGAUCGAGCGUUUCAUGUCGGAAAAGAAAUUGCAACCGAUCUCUUUGGUUAGUGGACACCUUCGAUCGUGGAGAUUGAAGAAUAUAGCGUUAGCCUCUGCAGCGAAAACAGACUCAUUGGGUUUCUCUCCCGGCCGGACCCUGACGAAGCUCUGCUAAGGGAAUCGCUUGCCAGAGCGCUGGACGCCUUGCGAGCCAAUGUGGAGAUGAAGCGUGGGAGGUCCAGGGACAGAGUGGCGGAGCAACUCUUCGCGAUGAACUCAUGCUGGUACAUGUACAUGAGGACACGUGGUUCGGAGCUAGCUCGGCUGGUGGGCUAGGAGGAGAUGAGAGAAAAGUACAGAGCG
Molecule: long non-coding RNA, 816 nt
Organism: Phalaenopsis equestris
Lineage: Eukaryota; Viridiplantae; Streptophyta; Magnoliopsida; Asparagales; Orchidaceae
Exons: 4
Source: RefSeq, a predicted model, not a curated record